Lolium perenne is the source of this 2128-nucleotide long non-coding RNA. RefSeq lists it as uncharacterized. Lineage: Eukaryota; Viridiplantae; Streptophyta; Magnoliopsida; Poales; Poaceae. The record is from RefSeq and is a predicted model, not a curated record.
UAAUUUCUCACCAGCAUCUCUAAAAAAGAAGUCCCCACACGCAUGCAACCACAUUCCACAGGCCACAACACUCCUAGCACCCACCAUCAGAUCCCCUUUUCCUCCUCCUCUGACGCUACCACCACUGCCUCUGCUCCUCGAUUCCAACCGCCGGAGCCAUGAAUCGACGCAGGAAAGAACAAUACGAUGCUCCCCAUGGACUGCACUGCCAUGUCUUUCCGACCUUGUCUCUCUGGUGGCAUCGCUGCUGGUCGGGAUUCAACUCUGGCGUCGCUUGUUCUGUCAAUGUCCUUGUGGACGAAGAAGAGCUAAGCGGCAGCAAGCACAGUCUAGCUGGUUUGAUGUCAACUGGCGAUGAUAACGAAAUCAAGGAGGUAAAUAUUCAGUUAGCAAGCAAUGAUGGCGAAAGAAAGGAUGUAAAUAUUCAGUUAGCAAGUAAUGCUCCAAUAUAUUGAAAGCGGAAGAAGAAACUGAAGGCAAGACAAAAGAGGAAGAAGAAAUUACCACCGACAGCGGCGUCAGCAACCUCUUCAACAGGGCGCUUGCCUAAACUUAUCUCCCACCUCCGGGACUGGACAUCGGCCACUAAAGAAGAGGCAAGAGACUGUUCUGACGAAAACGUGCGAAGCCGAAGGGAAAAUAGAAAGAUUCACCGCAACCCCAUUACUGCCGGCACGAACCAGAGGAUCUGCGGUAAAUCAGGCACAGCCGAAGAGGGGAGGACAGGAGCAGUAUGUAACAUAGGAGUAGCAGACGUAGCAGAAAGCAAAGGAACACGUACAGGCACGGAAGACCUAGCAGGGGCAACAACAACAGGAGCAGUAUUCUGCAAUAGACGGCGGCGGCGUGCAGGCAGAGAAGCAGAAGAUGAUAACGAUUUAUACAGACGACCAGAUCCCCAGCCUGCACCUUCGACAGAUUUCAUAGCAGCUGGAGAACCAUCGUGAAGCAAAGAGGAAGCCCUAGGAAAAGGAAGACGAUCAGAGACAACAACAGCAACUGAACCAACAGUUGGGGCGGCAGCAGCAGGAAGAGCAGCAGAGGAGACUCGGCCACGGGCACCACGACGACCUCAGCCUACCGACUGAGAAGAUGGCUCAUCCAGGCCACGCCGGCGACGCGGCGCCGAAUACGAAGACAAAUAAACAGCCGGUGAGGCUGGCGGCACGUACGGCGGAGGUAUCGGCAAAGACGGGAGGUGAGCACGAACAGGACAUGAGCCAUCGAGACGCUGAGGCCGCGGUAAGAGCGGACGCAGGGGCGUCGACGCGGGAGCCAGCCGGCCUCCCCCACGGCUAGGAGUAGCGAACCAUGAGAUCAAGACCUAGCAAGGAAUCUAAUGAGAGAUGAAGAAGAACGCAGGGAAGAAAGGAGACCGGACUCUCCGAUGUGGAGUUGUGAACGCACGAACCGAGGAAGGAGUAGCGGAAAUCAAAAAAUGGCCGAGAAAUUAGGCCUAGAAAGCACGAUGGAGAAAGGAAUUGGACACGUAAAAAGAUACGUGGCAGUAAAGAGAAGAAACAUUUUCGGAGUGACAUGCAGGACCGGGUCAAGGCCAAUAAAACCGGACAUGGAAGGUAAACAGCAAGAAAGGGAAAAGCAGCAACCGUCCCGAAAAAGAAGGAUCACCGGAUGGAUCCCGGCUGCUCCCAGUAAAUAGGAAUUACAUGAGAGGAAGAAAAGAAGGGAAAACGAAAUAGGCUUCCGCAUGUGCAGGAAGCGGUAACGCGUGAAUAGUGGAAAAACUGGACGUGUCUAUGCCUGAUUAGAUAAAACUGAUGAUGAACAGUUACCAAAACGCUACCAUCACGGCAUAAGGGGUCAGCUUUGAUAUAGUUAAUAAUAAUGUGUUGGAGAUUCUACAGCCUACAAGGUGUCGUCAUCCGCGAGGAGGAACCAGCGACAGCAGAAGGCAGUGGCUGUCAGGGUGACGUUCAACGCCACGGACGCUGAGGGCGUACAUGGAGCCUUGGCCUCUUAAUCGAAGGGAACAUGAUCUUGCCGCUAGCGUUCUUUUAUUCUUUAGAUCGAUCAGCUGAAACUUUGUCAGUCUAUUUCAUUUGAAAUGAAUUUCUUAUACUGUAACCAAACGAACGCUCUUGUGAGUAAUGUAUCCAUAGUUCUAUUU